Molecule: ribosomal RNA, 349 nt
Filed under: Escherichia coli
Lineage: Bacteria; Pseudomonadati; Pseudomonadota; Gammaproteobacteria; Enterobacterales; Enterobacteriaceae
Description: bacterial SSU rRNA
Rfam family: Bacterial small subunit ribosomal RNA
Source: RNAcentral
UUAAAUUGAAGAGUUUGAUCAUGGCUCAGAUUGAACGCUGGCGGCAGGCCUAACACAUGCAAGUCGAACGGUAACAGGAAACAGCUUGCUGUUUCGCUGACGAGUGGCGGACGGGUGAGUAAUGUCUGGGAAACUGCCUGAUGGAGGGGGAUAACUACUGGAAACGGUAGCUAAUACCGCAUAACGUCGCAAGACCAAAGAGGGGGACCUUCGGGCCUCUUGCCAUCGGAUGUGCCCAGAUGGGAUUAGCUUGUUGGUGGGGUAACGGCUCACCAAGGCGACGAUCCCUAGCUGGUCUGAGAGGAUGACCAGCCACACUGGAACUGAGACACGGUCCAGACUCCUACGG